GCCGGAUCCCAGGAUCUCUGGCCGUUGGACCCUGGGGGUCCACAGGUUUGGGUGUCAGCCUCCGGUGGCUGGGGCCAGGCCCAGGUCUCCCUGGGGCCGAUGCUUGCUCCCCAGGGAGGGAGGUCGGUCCCCGGGCUAUGCUGGCUCUCGGGUGUCUGGGCGAGGACCUGAGUCCUCUGGUGGAUGGGGUCACGGCCCGGGUUGCUGGGAUCUCAGGACAGACAGCAGGCCCAUUGGUGGGAGGAGCUGCGUCUCUGUCCGGCUAGCUGGAUGGCUCGAGUCAUCUCAGUUCCAGCGUUGACGGGACAGCUGGCAGGACCAGUCCUUGCCCCAAGAGGCGAGAAGGAGAAUUCCAGCAUGGGCUUGCCAGCUCUGACAUCCUCGUCCUAGAACGAGCUCCACAGAGCCUGCCGUGGCAGGCUCUGCGGCCCCAGGGUGCCCUCCGACCGCCUCCCACGUCUCCCAGAGGCGCUCUGGGAUCAGCAGGUUCAGAAGGUGAUUGGAACCACCAAGUGGACCUUUUGGAAGCCUAGGUCCAGGAAGUGAGUGGAUGGACGCGGGGUAUGCUGCAGCAAUGCAGAGAUGGACUAAAGUCAGACCCCCGCUGAGGCAUAACACAGUAACCAUAACUCUUCUGUCAACAAGAGAGAGGAGACUGCAGACAGCUGUGGGCAACAGGGGAAAUCCCCUGGGGGAAGGCCUUGCCUGUGGCCAGAAGUGGAUUACACUGGACCAGUGCCAGGACCUCCAGGGGUAUAAACGGGUGAUAACAGAUGCUUACUCAGUUGUAGACACAAAUACUCAGUUCAGUUCAGUCACUCAGUCAUGUCUGACUCUGCGACUGCAUGGACUGCAGCACGCCAGGCUUUCCUGUCCAUCACCAACUCCCAGAGCUUACUCAAACUCAUGUCCAUUGAGUCGGUCCAACCAUCUCAUCCUUUGUUGCCACCUUCUCCUGCCUUCAGUCUUUCCCAGCAUCAGGGUCUUUCCCAGUGAGUCAGCUCUUUGCAUCGGGCGGCCAAAGUAUUGGAGUUUCAGCUUCAGCAUCAGUCCUUCCAAUGAAUAUUCAGGACUGAUUUCCUUUAGGAUGGACUGGCUGGAUCUCCUUGCAGUCCAAGGGACUCAUACUGUUAAAGGACUGGAACAGAAGAUGCUAAAGAUUCUGGCUGCCGAAUUACAUUUCUUCAGACAAAGGGAUGUCCUUUCCAGCCCACAAUAUCCAACGGUGUCCAUUAUCAAAUGGGAAAAUCGCAUUGCAUAUCCUCAUUAGAGCAAUGGCUUCAUAGAGGAGCAGAACUGACAGUUGAAACAUUUGUUGUCUAAAACAGGGGGAAGAAUAAAAAAGCAAUAUUUUUUUUUUUUAAGAAUAAAACAGGGGGAAGAGAAAGGCAUAAAGGGCUGGUUUAGAUGCC
This is a long non-coding RNA of Bos taurus (domestic cattle), 1412 nucleotides long. The record is from Ensembl. Lineage: Eukaryota; Metazoa; Chordata; Mammalia; Artiodactyla; Bovidae.